AUACGGAGGAUCCGAGCGUUAUCCGGAUUUAUUGGGUUUAAAGGGAGCGUAGGCGGACGCUUAAGUCAGUUGUGAAAGUUUGCGGCUCAACCGUAAAAUUGCAGUUGAUACUGGGUGUCUUGAGUACAGUAGAGGCAGGCGGAAUUCGUGGUGUAGCGGUGAAAUGCUUAGAUAUCACGAAGAACUCCGAUUGCGAAGGCAGCCUGCUGGACUGUAACUGACGCUGAUGCUCGAAAGUGUGGGUAUCAAACAGGAUUAGAUACCCUGGUAGUCCACACAAUAAACGAUGAAUACUCGCUGUUUGCGAUAUACAGUAAGCGGCCAAGCGAAAGCGUUAAGUAUUCCACCUGGGGAGUACGCCGGCAACGGUGAAACUCAAAGGAAUUGGCGGGG
Molecule: ribosomal RNA, 393 nt
Filed under: uncultured bacterium
Lineage: Bacteria
Description: partial 16S ribosomal RNA
Rfam family: Bacterial small subunit ribosomal RNA
Source: RNAcentral